This 251-nucleotide ribosomal RNA is filed under the name uncultured bacterium. Its description in RNAcentral is "partial 16S ribosomal RNA". It matches the Rfam family "Bacterial small subunit ribosomal RNA", at positions 338 to 606 of the family's 1533-position model. The record is from RNAcentral.
CCUACGGGGGGCAGCAGUGGGGGAUAUUGCACAAUGGGGGGAACCCUGAUGCAGCGACGCCGCGUGGGUGAAGGAGCGUUUCGGCGCGUAAAGCCCUAUCGGCAGGGAAGAAGAUGACGGUACCUGACCAAGAAGCCCCGGCUAACUACGUGCCAGCAGCCGCGGUAAUACGUAGGGAGCAAGCGUUGUCCGGAAUUACUGGGUGUAAAGGGAGCGUAGGCGGGGUAGUAAGUUGAUUGUUAAAACUAUCG